AUUGAACGCUGGCGGCAGGCCUAACACAUGCAAGUCGAGCGAGCGGCGGACGGGUGAGUAAUGUAUGGGGACUGCCCGAUAGAGGGGGAUAACUACUGGAAACGGUGGCUAAUACCGCAUACUAUCGGAUAACCCAUAUGGGAUUGGCUAGUAGGUGGGGUAAAGGCUCACCUAGGCGACGAUCUCUAGCUUGUCUGAGAGGAUGAUCAGCCACAUGGGUACGGAGACACGGCCCAUCAUCCUACGGAGGGAGCAGUGGGAAAUAUUGCACAAUGGGCGGAAUCCUGACGCAGCCAUGCCGCGGGUAUGAAGAAGGCCUUAGGGUUGUAAGGUACUUUCAGCGGGGAGGCGUUACCCGCAGAAGAAGCACCGGCUAACUCCUUGCCAGCAGCCGCGGUAAUAC
This 403-nucleotide ribosomal RNA is filed under the name uncultured bacterium. RNAcentral's name for it is "partial 16S ribosomal RNA". It matches the Rfam family "Bacterial small subunit ribosomal RNA", at positions 30 to 526 of the family's 1533-position model. The record is from RNAcentral.